Molecule: long non-coding RNA, 674 nt
Organism: Oreochromis aureus
Lineage: Eukaryota; Metazoa; Chordata; Actinopteri; Cichliformes; Cichlidae
Source: Ensembl
CGUUGGGGCUGCAGUAUGGUACUUUUAUACACAUGAAGAUCGAAGGCGUAUGUUUAGACUUUUUUGGCAGCGUGUCCCAACAAAUGAACCAGCUAUUAACAGUGCAGCGCAACAAGAACAACAACAGAUGGAGCAAUCUCUGUGACAGCUGUGGAAGCAAAGGAUGAGAAUCUGGACUGAAUGCUUGACCAACAUGCCAUUCUAGAGUUAGCUGGUAAAUGAACAGAUGAAGAACAGGUGGAGGUACUUGGUGUCCGUUUAUCUCUCUGCCCCCCUUUUGUUUAUCAUGUCUUAGUUUUUAAUGAAGUUUCUUUAUUGCUUUCUUGUCACUGCCAUGGUAUUUAGGUUCUACUUUUACAUACCAGCUCUGGCUAAUAUGAAUGGCAGUUUUUCUGUGACCUUUACAUCUCCUGAUAACAAAAGCCGUUAAGCUACUGAGGAUAUCAACCCACAGGGCUUCUGUUUGAAACAAUGUUAUCAGUGUUAUCAGUACACCACAGAGACUCGCACAGACAGCACAAACAGUCAAGCGAAGCACACCAUCUGAUUACCUUGUAAUCCGAACCAGUAAAAUUACCAUAUAGUACAUAAUACUUGAAAAAUAGAGCCCCACCCUUGUUAGCACAUGGCAGAUGUUUUACUCGGAUAAUCUAACAUAAAGCAACAUACAAGGA